Molecule: ribosomal RNA, 253 nt
Filed under: uncultured bacterium
Lineage: Bacteria
Description: partial 16S ribosomal RNA
Rfam family: Bacterial small subunit ribosomal RNA
Source: RNAcentral
UACGGGGGGGGCAAGCGUUGUUCGGAAUUACUGGGCGUAAAGGGCUCGUAGGCGGCCAACUAAGUCCGACGUGAAAUCCCCAGGCUUAACCUGGGAACUGCGUCGGAUACUGGAUGGCUUGAAUUCGGGAGAGGGAUGCAGAAUUCCAGGUGUAGCGGUGAAAUGCGUAGAUAUCUGGAGGAAUACCGGUGGCGAAGGCGGCCAUCUGGACCAGCACUGACACUGAGGCACGAAAGCGUGGGGAGCAAACAGG